UAUCUAAUAAUGAUUUCCUAUAAUAAUAUCCUGAAUAUUGAUCAAUGAAAUACCUUUUAUCAAUAUCUACUCCGAAUACGCCUAUGAUUAUAUACAUAAAUUUAAAAAUUUAAACUAGAUGAUAAUUUAAUAUUUUUUAUAAUUUAAAUUAUAGUUUAUUAUAGUUGCUAUUGUUUUUCCUUAAAUAAUACAGAGUACAGACAGCGAAAAUUGUUUAUAGAAGUUUGAAGUAUUUGAACUGGCGAAUUAAAUCGCUACCCAAGGUAUACUUAAUAAAUAUAUCACAAAUGCGUAAAAAGUUAAUGGUAUUCUCGUUUGAAAAACAAAAAUUAUAUUGCCACUGUAUAUUAUCCUGAAAUUG
Molecule: non-coding RNA, 361 nt
Organism: Cinara cedri
Lineage: Eukaryota; Metazoa; Arthropoda; Insecta; Hemiptera; Aphididae
Source: the annotation of a GenBank genome assembly